AAUAUAUAAAUCUAAUGGUUAUAAAACUUGUUCUUAUAUGAGAUCAAGCUUAUAAGAUGCACUCAUAAUGCUUUCAAAGAUGUUGUGCGUGUGCAUUUGUUUGUUUUAAGGCAAAUCAACGAAAGAAAUAGCCAAAAAUAGCCAAUUGAGCACAACGCUAAGAUGUGAAAAUGUUUGUAGGCUUCUCACAAUUGGAAAGAUAAAUUCUAAUAUAUCUCAUCUAAAUUGAAAGAAACUAUUGGUCUUUCAUUUUCAAAUAUUGCACAAUAUGUUUUGAAGUCUAAACUUAACAUAUCUCUUUUCAGUGUUUUGUAGAAAAAUCACAUGGAUAUAUUUUCUGGGUACCCUAG
RNAcentral lists this unclassified non-coding RNA (350 nucleotides) under Hevea brasiliensis (rubber tree). Lineage: Eukaryota; Viridiplantae; Streptophyta; Magnoliopsida; Malpighiales; Euphorbiaceae. The record is from RNAcentral.